GAAUUUCUUAUGGUCAGGGGAGAGUUAUCCCUUCCCUAAUAAAGUACUUGGCGAUGGCUGAUUGUAAGCUCCGAUGGCCACUUGCUGUCUUCUCUAUGUCUGUCCACUCGGCUGAUUAUAAUGUUGCUUAGCUACAGAAGCACCAUUGUAGUGAUUGACUUCUGUUCGGGUGCCACCUCCUGACGCCGGAGCCCGGAGUUGAUAGCAAAGCGGGGAGUGAUGCGGCAAGGGAGGCGGCGCUGGACGGGUGUAGCCUAGUUACUGAGCAGCACCCUCGGUGAUUGGCCCCUGAUCUGACGCCCCCAGCUGACGUUAGAGCCUGGGGCUUACUGCUCGACGAGGGUGGAUGCGGCGCGAGAGGGUGAACGUGACAGAUGUUGCUUAGCUACAGAAGCACCAUUGUAGUGAUUGGCUUCUGUUCGGGUGUCACCUCCUGACGCCGGAGCCCGGAGUUGAUAGCAAAGCGGGGAGUGACGCGGCAAGGGAGGCGGCGCUAGUUACUGAGCAGCACCCUCGGUGAUUGGCCCCUGAUCUGGCGCCCGCAGCCGACAUUAGAGCCUGGCACUUACUGCUCGAUGAGGGUGGAUGCGGCGCGAGAGGGUGAA
This is a long non-coding RNA of Pseudophryne corroboree (corroboree frog), 605 nucleotides long. RefSeq lists it as uncharacterized. The record is from RefSeq and is a predicted model, not a curated record. Lineage: Eukaryota; Metazoa; Chordata; Amphibia; Anura; Myobatrachidae. The transcript has 3 exons.